Molecule: long non-coding RNA, 3607 nt
Organism: Gossypium raimondii (Peruvian cotton)
Lineage: Eukaryota; Viridiplantae; Streptophyta; Magnoliopsida; Malvales; Malvaceae
Exons: 2
Source: RefSeq, a predicted model, not a curated record
CUUGCUAAGCAGAUGACAUAACCUGCCCUGUAAACCCAACUGGGGCUACCUUAUUUGAUAUAUUCCAUUAUUCAAAAUUCUAUCUUUUCUUUUUAGUCGCUUUUGAUAGGCGUUGCGUUCUUCAGUAGCUUUUAUCAGAAUCCUGAAGGGCGCGUCAACGAAAGCGUAAAUCACCUUCAAUUCCAACGAUUCAUUAAAAAUCUGCAUGCUACGCGUUUUUCACAGUGAAUUGUAGCUUGUAACGAGUUGGAUUCUGCCAUUUUGAUAAUUUCAAUUCGAACCAGAUCUGUUUUUCAAAGUUAAUUCAUUUCUGAAAACCUAGUACUGUCAGUAAUUUUAAAGUUAUUGUAGAUUAAAGUUGCUUCUUACUGGUGAACGCUCUCAGAUUUAACAGUGAGGGAUGUUCAUGUUUCCGAAGCAUAAAUUAAUCUGUUUUUAGCCAGUUUUAAACAGCGUUGUGCGUUAUUAUCUUCAAAGCACUGCGCUACCUGUCUCCUGGUAUAUAUUUAUUAAUAUUUUUUGUGAUUAUUUUCUGUUUCCAGAUCCUAAUGUUUUGGUUGUUGUGUACGGUCUUUUUGUAGUUGUUUUAAAUUUUGAAUUAAAAGUUGGAUUUAUUUAAUCUUAACUAGGAAAAUCAAGUGUAUGUUUGAAACAGUAAAUUAAGAUGCUCUUAGAACCGAGAUUUAAUUUAUAAACACCGAAAAUGAAGCCUUGGUAGUGAAUUAUGCACUGUAGUUAAGACCUGGGUUGAUUUGAAGAUAACGGAGAAAAGAAAAGUAAGUCAUAGUAACUCGCGCGAAUAGCUUAAAUGGUAAUCUAUGAGUCAAUAGACAAGAAACGGGCCUUCGCUUGGUUAGAGGGGGGGGGGGGGGAUUGCCUCAAUCGCGCUUUUGUAUGGUUACGAUGAAAUUAGCAGUAGUUUUGAACGACAUGAACUUAAAAUGAGCAUAUCUUGCAACAAACGGAUUGAGCAUCAAAUUUUUGAAGACCAGGCUUAAAGUUUUACCAUGCACUUAAUGGAAAAUUUGACAGAACAUUGUGAAGGUGAUUGUGUUUUUAGCCCGUUUUGAGUUUAGUAAGUAAAUCACUUGUAAAAUUUGACCCAAGCGAACUCAUGUACGUGUUUGACUGAAUACUAUCUUAUAAUUCACACUAGGAUAUAGUUUUUCAUCUUUUAAAAGUUAUACUAAACUUGUAUUGAUAAAUUAAGAAGGGUUUAAAAUAAAGAUUAAUAAUUGUUAACUGGUUGUUAUAGUUAUCUUAAUCAUAAACUCGUUUUAGUUAUCAAUUAACAGUCUAUAAACAUGUGAUCGGUUAAAAUAAAGAUAAUUAUGGUAAUUAGAUAAAAUAACUAUGACAACUAAUUGACAAUACAAUUAAAAAUUAAUUGAAUUGUGUAUUCGUUCUUUAAUCAGAGUUAGUAAAUAAGGGUUAAACUAAUAAAUUGAUUUGUGAUAUGUAUAAAUAUAUUUGAUUCUAUCAAUAGGGAUAAAACGUAAAACUUACUGUUGCCAUGAAAAUAGAUGCAAACACCUAAGCGUGCAUCAAAAAUUUUAUUACGUAAAUGGGUAUCCAUGUGAAAUAAAUCUGAAUAAUUAAUAAAGGGAUUAUUGGUUUAAUGGUAUAUACAUGUUAAAGUUAUUGAUGUUGAAUUGGUUAAUGAUUAUUAUGUUUAUGUCGAAUACUAGUCGUUUAUAUUUUUAUUAUUAUUUUGAGUUACUUUAGUAUCAAUGAGUAUACAUUAUUUAAUUAUGGAUUUGUUUGUUUUCGUGUGUAGGUCUCGAAUAAAAGUUAUAGUAAAUUCAUGGUCAGGCAUUUGCUAAAAAUUGUAGUGGCAAUGUAGUGGGAGCAUUCCAAUCGAGCUACACUCUGAUUUGGAGCGAUUGUUAAGACACAAUUGUCAACUGAUGCAAAAUGAUCCACCCAUGGUAGUUGAUUUACCUCGGGAGAACCUUUUAUUUGACGAUUCACUUGAACCACGAGCACAAGUUCGUGGAGAGUUGCUGAUGGUUCAAUAAAGGACGUUGCACGAUUACGCACUACCAACAAUAGAAGUCGUUCGAGGUAGCAUUGAAAGAUCGACGGUUAAUGCUAAUAAUUUCAAGAUCAAAAUGAGUACAAUUCAAAUGAUCCAAAACACCUUACAAUUCAGAGGGAACAUGAUGGAGGACCUGAACCAACAGUUGAAACAAUUUCUUCAGCUCUGCGAUACCUUCAAGUAUAACGGGGUAACUGAUAACACUGUUUGUCUUCGAUUGUUCUCCUUCUCCUUAUGUGAUAACAAAGCUGAUUGGUUGGAUUCAUUGGAUCCUGAUUCCAUAACUACAUGGGAAGAGUUAGCUGAAAAGUUUUUACAAAAAUUAUUUCCCAUCAGCAGAACUAUUCAACUUAGGCGCGAUAUUGUGAAUUUUAAGCAGAUGGAUGGCAAAACUUUCUACGAGGCUUGGGAAUGAUUUAAGUUGCUGUUAAGAAAGUGUCCUCAUCACAGAAUGAAAGAGUGGCUCUGCAUACAAAUUUUUUACAAUAGAUUGGACAGUAAUCUAAGGUCUAGUUUGGACAGCACAUCCGGAGUUGCCCUUAUGAACCACACAUACGAGCGAGGCUGUCAGUUAAUCAAUGACAUGUUCAUGAACUUGUAUAUGUGACCUAAUGAGAGAUUCUCAUACAACCCAAAACCACCAAUGGUGAAAGCUAUUAGUAAAGGGGGUUAAGUAUCAACAAAUUUUAGAGAAAUUAAACCUUUUGGAGAUGACUGUUAAACUAUUAAUAACGGAGUCAGCUCGAGGCUAUGGGUCAUAUUCUGAAAGCCAGCCUAAGGAGGUAAAUUAUUUGUGUAAUAGGGGUGGAAACCCUUAUUCAAAUACAUAUAACCUCAACUAGAAAAUCAUGCAAACUUAAAUUGGAGAGGUAGUCAAGGAGGCAGAAAUCCAAUGCAUAACCAAUCGGCUCCUCCUUACCAACCUCCUCCUGUACAAAGAUCUCGAGAGAAGCUCAUUAGGAAUGACCAUACUGCAUGUGGUCAAAGGCUAGACAUAAUAUAAUGAGAAAUGCAAAUGAUGAAAAAUGGAUCUUCGACAAGUCUAUGCCAAGUGUGACCGACUUAAGUCUCGGAUUGGUAUCCUUCAUGAACAAAUGAGUCAAAUGAUAAGCUUGAUGAAAAAGAAAAUUGGCCAAGGCAUACCUAGUGAUAUGGAGAAUAAUCUUCGCACGGAUGGGAAAGAGCAUGUGAACGUGGCCACUUUACAAUCAAGUAAAACACUUGACAGUCCGAGUAUCACCAUCCAAGAAGAUAAGGAUUUUUUAAACUUUGUGGAUGAACUUUUAAAGGAAAACAAGAUUGAAGAGUUGAUUAAGCAAGUAGCCAAAAUGAUAGCUGAGCCGGAGAUUUUGAAACCUAACACGACGAAUAUACCAUUCCAAUCGAGGCUUGAGGACAACAAAUGAGGGAUGAAGCAAAUUUUGUGUUGUAAAGUGUUACCUUAUGUCGCGACACACCAUCAAAACCUGUAACUUUCCUUUUUUGAAUUUUCACGUAAUUUGUUGAAUUAUGUGUAAAAAGCACAUUAAUUUAGCCCUAAAGCCCUCUAUGAAUCAUCCUUAGUAGUUA